AGGACGAACGCUGGCGGCGUGGAUUAGGCAUGCAAGUUGAGCGACGAUUAAGGGCUUGCCCUUAAUACGGAGCAGCGAACGGGUGAGUAACACGUGAACAAUCUGUCCCUUCAUUCCGGAUAAUUGAUCGAAAGGUCUUGUAAUACGGGCGAGGGUCCUACUUAAGCAUUUUUGUGGGAAGGAAGGCGCAAGCCGUGCAGGGAGGAGUUCGCGGCCUAUCAGUUAGUUGGUGGGGUAAUGGCCUACCAAGACGACGACGGGUAGCUGGU
This 269-nucleotide ribosomal RNA is filed under the name uncultured bacterium. Its description in RNAcentral is "partial small subunit ribosomal RNA". It matches the Rfam family "Bacterial small subunit ribosomal RNA", at positions 26 to 291 of the family's 1533-position model. The record is from RNAcentral.